UACGGAGGGUGCGAGCGUUGUCCGGAAUCACUGGGCGUAAAGGGCGCGUAGGCGGCCUGAUAAGUAGGGGGUGAAAUCUUGCGGCUUAACCGCAAGGCUGCCUUCUAAACUGUCAGGCUAGAGCACAGUAGAGGCAGGUGGAAUUCCCGGUGUAGCGGUGGAAUGCGUAGAGAUCGGGAAGAACACCAGUGGCGAAGGCGACACGCUGGGCCGUACCUGACACUGAUGCGCGACAGCAUGGGGAGCAAACAGG
Molecule: ribosomal RNA, 253 nt
Filed under: uncultured bacterium
Lineage: Bacteria
Description: partial 16S ribosomal RNA
Rfam family: Bacterial small subunit ribosomal RNA
Source: RNAcentral